Molecule: ribosomal RNA, 618 nt
Filed under: uncultured bacterium
Lineage: Bacteria
Description: bacterial SSU rRNA
Rfam family: Bacterial small subunit ribosomal RNA
Source: RNAcentral
AAGCUUGCUUUCCUUGAUGACGACUGGCGCACGGGUGAGUAGCGCGUAUCCAACCUUCCCAUAACUACGGGAUAACCCGUUGAAAGACGGCCUAAUACCGUAUGACAUCGUUUGCUGACAUCAAAUAACGAUUAAAGGUUUAGCGGUUAUGGAUGGGGAUGCGUCUGAUUAGCUUGUUGGCGGGGUAACGGCCCACCAAGGCGACGAUCAGUAGGGGUUCUGAGAGGAAGGUCCCCCACAUUGGAACUGAGACACGGUCCAAACUCCUACGGGAGGCAGCAGUGAGGAAUAUUGGUCAAUGGGCGAGAGCCUGAACCAGCCAAGUAGCGUGCAGGAUGACGGCCCUAUGGGUUGUAAACUGCUUUUAUGUGGGGAUAAAGUGCGUGACGUGUCAUGCAUUGCAGGUACCACAUGAAUAAGGACCGGCUAAUUCCGUGCCAGCAGCCGCGGUAAUACGGAAGGUCCGGGCGUUAUCCGGAUUUAUUGGGUUUAAAGGGAGCGUAGGCUGUCUAUUAAGCGUGUUGUGAAAUUUACCGGCUCAACCGGUGGCUUGCAGCGCGAACUGGUCGACUUGAGUAUGCAGGAAGUAGGCGGAAUUCAUGGUGUAGCGGUGAAAUG